UACGAAGGGGGCUAGCGUUGUUCGGAAUUACUGGGCGUAAAGAGCACGUAGGCGGACUACUAAGUCAGGGGUGAAAUCCCGGGGCUCAACCCCGGAACUGCCUUUGAUACUGAUAGUCUCGAGUCCGGAAGAGGUGAGUGGAAUUCCGAGUGUAGAGGUGAAAUUCGUAGAUAUUCGGAGGAACACCAGUGGCGAAGGCGGCUCACUGGUCCGGUACUGACGCUGAGGUGCGAAAGCGUGGGGAGCAAACAGG
This 253-nucleotide ribosomal RNA is filed under the name uncultured bacterium. RNAcentral describes it as "partial 16S ribosomal RNA". It matches the Rfam family "Bacterial small subunit ribosomal RNA", at positions 524 to 776 of the family's 1533-position model. The record is from RNAcentral.